This 240-nucleotide unclassified non-coding RNA is filed under the name soil metagenome. Its description in RNAcentral is "partial contains 5.8S ribosomal RNA, internal transcribed spacer 2, and large subunit ribosomal RNA". The record is from RNAcentral.
AACGCACGAGACCUGCGGACCUGCGGAGGGAUCAUUACCGAGUGAGGGCCCUCUGGGUCCAACCUCCCACCCGUGUUUAUCGUACCUUGUUGCUUCGGCGGGCCCGCCUCACGGCCGCCGGGGGGCACCUGCCCCCGGGCCCGCGCCCGCCGAGGACAUCAUUGAACUCUGUCUGAAGAUUGCAGUCUGAGUAGAUUAGCUAAAUCAGUUAAAACUUUUAACAACGGAUCUCUAGAUCGG